RNAcentral lists this non-coding RNA (30 nucleotides) under Cricetulus griseus (Chinese hamster). Lineage: Eukaryota; Metazoa; Chordata; Mammalia; Rodentia; Cricetidae. The record is from RNAcentral.
ACGAAUGCUAGAUGCCUGUGCUCACCCUGA